RNAcentral lists this ribosomal RNA (207 nucleotides) under uncultured bacterium. RNAcentral's name for it is "partial 16S ribosomal RNA". It matches the Rfam family "Bacterial small subunit ribosomal RNA", at positions 29 to 226 of the family's 1533-position model. The record is from RNAcentral.
AACGAACGCUGGCGGCGCGCCUAAUACAUGCAAGUCGAGCGAGAAGACGUAGCAAUACGUUUGUAAAGCGGCGAACGGGUGAGGAAUACAUGGGUAACCUACCCUCGAGUGGGGAAUAACUAGCCGAAAGGUUAGCUAAUACCGCGUACGCUCCUUGGACUUCGGUUCAGGGAGGAAAGCGAUACCGUGGGUAUCGCGCUCUUGGAU